This 253-nucleotide ribosomal RNA is filed under the name uncultured bacterium. RNAcentral describes it as "partial 16S ribosomal RNA". It matches the Rfam family "Bacterial small subunit ribosomal RNA", at positions 524 to 776 of the family's 1533-position model. The record is from RNAcentral.
UACGAAGGGGGCUAGCGUUGCUCGGAAUGACUGGGCGUAAAGGGCGCGUAGGCGGAUGGCACAGUCAGAUGUGAAAUUCCUGGGCUUAACCUGGGGGCUGCAUUUGAUACGUGUGAUCUAGAGUGAGGAAGAGGGUUGUGGAAUUCCCAGUGUAGAGGUGAAAUUCGUAGAUAUUGGGAAGAACACCGGUGGCGAAGGCGGCGACCUGGUCCUUAACUGACACUGAGGCGCGAAAGCGUGGGGAGCAAACAGG